Molecule: non-coding RNA, 31 nt
Filed under: Drosophila melanogaster (fruit fly)
Lineage: Eukaryota; Metazoa; Arthropoda; Insecta; Diptera; Drosophilidae
Also listed under: 17 other names
Source: RNAcentral
GUUGACCUCGGAUCAGGUAGGGAUACCCGCU